Molecule: ribosomal RNA, 480 nt
Filed under: Treponema sp. canine oral taxon 201
Lineage: Bacteria; Pseudomonadati; Spirochaetota; Spirochaetia; Treponematales; Treponemataceae
Description: bacterial SSU rRNA
Rfam family: Bacterial small subunit ribosomal RNA
Source: RNAcentral
GAGUUUGAUUCUGGCUCAGAACGAACGCUGGCGGUGCGUUUUAAGCAUGCAAGUCGAACGGUAAAAAGAGAGCUUGCUCUCUUUGAGAGUGGCGGACUGGUGAGUAACGCGUGGAUGAUCUACCUUUGAGAUGGGGAUAGCUUCUAGAAAUAGGAGAUAAUACCGAAUAACCUUGUUGUGUUUUGAUGUAACAAGAAAAGGAGCGUCAGCUCCGCUCGAAGAUGAGUCUGCGUCCCAUUAGCUAGUUGGUAGGGUAAAGGCUUACCAAGGCGACGAUGGGUAUCCGGCCUGAGAGGGUGAACGGACACAUUGGGACUGAGAUACGGCCCAAACUCCUACGGGAGGCAGCAGCUGAGAAUCUUCCGCAAUGGACGAAAGUCUGACGGAGCGACACCGCGUGAACGAUGAAGGCCGGAAGGUUGUAAAGUUCUUUUGCAGACAAAGAAUAAGGAUAGAAGGAAAUGACUAUCUGAUGACGGU